RNAcentral lists this ribosomal RNA (1451 nucleotides) under uncultured organism. RNAcentral's name for it is "SSU rRNA". It matches the Rfam family "Bacterial small subunit ribosomal RNA". The record is from RNAcentral.
AUGAACGCUAGCUACAGGCUUAACACAUGCAAGUCGAGGGGCAGCAUGGUCUUAGCUUGCUAAGGCCGAUGGCGACCGGCGCACGGGUGAGUAACACGUAUCCAACCUGCCGUCUACUCUUGGACAGCCUUCUGAAAGGAAGAUUAAUACAAGAUGGCAUCAUGAGUCCGCAUGUUCACAUGAUUAGAGGUAUUCCGGUAGACGAUGGGGAUGCGUUCCAUUAGAUAGUAGGCGGGGUAACGGCCCACCUAGUCUUCGAUGGAUAGGGGUUCUGAGAGGAAGGUCCCCCACAUUGGAACUGAGACACGGUCCAAACUCCUACGGGAGGCAGCAGUGAGGAAUAUUGGUCAAUGGGCGAGAGCCUGAACCAGCCAAGUAGCGUGAAGGAUGACUGCCCUAUGGGUUGUAAACUUCUUUUAUAAAGGAAUAAAGUCGGGUAUGGAUACCCGUUUGCAUGUACUUUAUGAAUAAGGAUCGGCUAACUCCGUGCCAGCAGCCGCGGUAAUACGGAGGAUCCGAGCGUUAUCCGGAUUUAUUGGGUUUAAAGGGAGCGUAGAUGGAUGUUUAAGUCAGUUGUGAAAGUUUGCGGCUCAACCGUAAAAUUGCAGUUGAUACUGGAUAUCUUGAGUGCAGUUGAGGCAGGCGGAAUUCGUGGUGUAGCGGUGAAAUGCUUAGAUAUCACGAAGAACUCCGAUUGCGAAGGCAGCCUGCUAAGCUGCAACUGACAUUGAGGCUCGAAAGUGUGGGUAUCAAACAGGAUUAGAUACCCUGGUAGUCCACACGGUAAACGAUGAAUACUCGCUGUUUGCGAUAUACUGCAAGCGGCCAAGCGAAAGCGUUAAGUAUUCCACCUGGGGAGUACGCCGGCAACGGUGAAACUCAAAGGAAUUGACGGGGGCCCGCACAAGCGGAGGAACAUGUGGUUUAAUUCGAUGAUACGCGAGGAACCUUACCCGGGCUUAAAUUGCAGAUGAAUUACGGUGAAAGCCGUAAGCCGCAAGGCAUCUGUGAAGGUGCUGCAUGGUUGUCGUCAGCUCGUGCCGUGAGGUGUCGGCUUAAGUGCCAUAACGAGCGCAACCCUUGUUGUCAGUUACUAACAGGUUCCGCUGAGGACUCUGACAAGACUGCCAUCGUAAGAUGUGAGGAAGGUGGGGAUGACGUCAAAUCAGCACGGCCCUUACGUCCGGGGCUACACACGUGUUACAAUGGGGGGUACAGAGGGCCGCUACCACGCGAGUGGAUGCCAAUCCCCAAAACCUCUCUCAGUUCGGACUGGAGUCUGCAACCCGACUCCACGAAGCUGGAUUCGCUAGUAAUCGCGCAUCAGCCACGGCGCGGUGAAUACGUUCCCGGGCCUUGUACACACCGCCCGUCAAGCCAUGGGAGCCGGGGGUACCUGAAGUGCGUAACCGCGAGGAGCGCCCUAGGGUAAAACUGGUGACUGGGGCUAA